Molecule: ribosomal RNA, 347 nt
Filed under: Fragilariaceae sp. ID-C1
Lineage: Eukaryota; Bacillariophyta; Fragilariophyceae; Fragilariales; Fragilariaceae
Description: SSU rRNA
Rfam family: Eukaryotic small subunit ribosomal RNA
Source: RNAcentral
GUUAAAAAGCUCGUAGUUGGAUUUGUGGUUGGGUUCGUCGGUCCGGCACAUUGUGCGGGUACUUGAUGGACUCGUCCAUCCUUGGGUGGAAUCUGUGUGGCAUUAAGUUGUCGUGCAGGGGAUGCCCAUCGUUUACUGUGAAAAAAUUAGAGUGUUCAAAGCAGGCUUAUGCCGUUGAAUAUAUUAGCAUGGAAUAAUGAGAUAGGACCUUGGUACUAUUUUGUUGGUUUGCGCACCGAGGUAAUGAUUAAUAGGGACAGUUGGGGGUAUUCGUAUUCCAUUGUCAGAGGUGAAAUUCUUGGAUUUUUGGAAGACGAACUACUGCGAAAGCAUUUACCAAGGAUGUU